This 254-nucleotide ribosomal RNA is filed under the name uncultured bacterium. RNAcentral's name for it is "partial 16S ribosomal RNA". It matches the Rfam family "Bacterial small subunit ribosomal RNA", at positions 524 to 776 of the family's 1533-position model. The record is from RNAcentral.
UACAGAGGGUGCGAGCGUUAAUCGGAAUUACUGGGCGUAAAGGGCGCGUAGGCGGCCAGCACAAGUCAGUUGUGAAAUCUCCGGGCUUAACUCGGAAAGGUCAACUGAUACUGUGCGGCUAGAGUGCAGAAGGGGCAACUGGAAUUCUCGGUGUAGCGGUGAAAUGCGUAGAUAUCGAGAGGAACACCUGCGGCGAAGGCGACUUUCUGGCCUGUUCUUGACGCUGAGGCGCGAAAGCUAGGGGAGCAAACGGG